This is a non-coding RNA of Stegodyphus mimosarum, 73 nucleotides long. Lineage: Eukaryota; Metazoa; Arthropoda; Arachnida; Araneae; Eresidae. The record is from Rfam.
GCCUUCGUGGUGUAGUGGUCAGCAUGCUCAGCGCUUAUUCGAGUGGUCCGUGGUUCGAGUCCCGGCGAGGGCA